Molecule: long non-coding RNA, 355 nt
Filed under: Rattus norvegicus (Norway rat)
Lineage: Eukaryota; Metazoa; Chordata; Mammalia; Rodentia; Muridae
Description: long non-coding RNA NONRATT013817
Source: RNAcentral
GGCAGCAGUGGCCUGUGGGAUGCAGGUAGUCAUGGUACCUCAUGAAAACCUCAGCUCAGACCUAACAACAAAAGCCACCCUGGUGCUGAGUUCCCUCCAUGAAUUCAAGCCUGAACUGUUUGGUCUACCUGCAUUUGAUGAGUAAAGGUGAAAAGCGACCAUGCUACUGUGGGCCUCAUAUAACCCAAGAUCGACUUCACCUUUGGAAUUCAGCUACAAAUUGUCUACUCCUACAAAGGAAUGAGUGCAGAUGACUUCCUCUGGAUGUGGACUUAUUUCACAUAUCUUAGCAAACUACCUUAACAUUAUCAAUGGCCUGUACAUUUGUUUACUCAAUAAUUCUUCUCCAAAUCAA